GAUGAAGAACGUAGCGAAAUGCGAUAAGUAAUGUGAAUUGCAGAAUCCAGUGAAUCAUCGAAUCUUUGAACGCACAUUGCGCCCGCCAACAUUCUGGCGGGCAUGCCUGUUCGAGCGUCAUUUCAACCCUCGACCUCCCUUUGGGGAAGUCGGCGUUGGGGACCGGCAGCACACCGCCGGCCCUGAAAUGGAGUGGCGGCCCGUCCGCGGCGACCUCUGCGUAGUAAACCAACUCGCACCGGAACCCCGACGUGGCCACGCCGUAAAACACCCAACUUCUGAACGUUGACCUCGAAUCAGGUAGGACUACCCGCUGAACUUAAGCAUAUCAAUAAGCGGAGGA
This 343-nucleotide unclassified non-coding RNA is filed under the name soil metagenome. RNAcentral's name for it is "partial contains 5.8S ribosomal RNA, internal transcribed spacer 2, and large subunit ribosomal RNA". The stretch from base 1 to 120 matches the Rfam family "5.8S ribosomal RNA", at positions 35 to 154 of the family's 154-position model. The record is from RNAcentral.